This is an RNA transcript of Elaeis guineensis (African oil palm), 2258 nucleotides long. It is a transcript of the gene named EH domain-containing protein 1, with no coding region annotated. The record is from RefSeq and is a predicted model, not a curated record. Lineage: Eukaryota; Viridiplantae; Streptophyta; Magnoliopsida; Arecales; Arecaceae.
UCGCCAUUCGCGGCGUCCUGUGGUAAGAAAGCGACCAUUUUUUUCAAAUCCGCCAACGUUCUCCAACGCUCCUCUUUUCUCUUCCUCCUGAGUCGUGCCUUUCGGACCCUUGGUCUUUUCUUUUCUUUUCUUCUCCUCCGUCGUCGCCUUCGCCGUUUAAAUAUCUAUGGAUUUGGUGACGUCUCCGAAGAAAUCUUGCACCAGAGAGCAGCAAAACAUCUACCAGCAAUGGUUCUCCGUCGCCGAUUCUGAUGGAGAUGGACGGGUGACGGGUAAUGAUGCGCUCAAGUUUUUUGCCAUGUCUAAGCUCUCCAGGCCGGAACUUAAACAGGUGUGGGCCAUUGCUGAUUCAAAACGUCAGGGAUUUCUCGGAUUCCAAGAGUUUAUUGUUGCAAUGCAGCUUGUUGCGCUAGCACAAGAAGGGCAUGAGAUUACUCAGGAUGUCCUUACUCAUGUAGACUUGGAGAAUGUGAAACCUCCAGUGAUGGGAGGUUUGGAUAUACUUUUAGCUAAAUUUAAUAAGCGUUCAGCGAAGAGAGAUGAUCCAACUGUAGAUGAAGCUCCUAAAACCCAACCACCAUCACCAGCUCGCUGGUUUAGCUCAAAAUCAUCAAAGAAGAUACCUUUAAAAUCAGUUACUUCAAUUAUCGAUGGUUUGAAGAAAUUGUACAUUGAAAAAUUGAAGCCUUUGGAAGUUACCUACCAAUUCAAUGAUUUUGUUUCUCCCUUAUUGACAAAUAGUGAUUUUGAUGCCAAGCCCAUGGUUAUGCUCCUGGGUCAAUAUUCUACCGGAAAAACGACAUUCAUAAAACAUUUGCUAAAUUCUAGCUACCCAGGUGCUCAUAUUGGACCAGAACCUACAACUGAUAGAUUCGUUGUUAUUACGUCAGGACCAGAUGAGAGGAGUAUUCCUGGGAACACUAUUGCUGUGCAAGCAGAUAUGCCCUACAGUGGUCUGACAACUUUUGGAACUGCAUUCCUGUCAAAAUUUGAGUGUUCUCAGAUGCCACAUCCACUGCUGGAGCAUAUUACUUUUGUUGAUACUCCUGGUGUUCUUUCUGGAGAAAAACAACGAACUCAACGUAGCUAUGAUUUUACUGGUGUUACAUCCUGGUUUGCAGCAAAGUGUGACCUUAUUCUUCUCUUGUUUGAUCCUCAUAAACUAGACAUCAGCGAUGAGUUUAAGCGUGUAAUUGGAUCUUUGCAUGGCCAUGAUGACAAAAUCCGUGUAGUUCUGAAUAAGGCAGACCAGGUUGACACCCAACAGCUUAUGAGAGUUUAUGGUGCAUUACUGUGGUCACUGGGGAAGGUUCUAAACACCCCCGAGGUCAUGCGUGUUUAUAUUGGUUCAUUUAAUGACAAACUGGUGAAUGAAGCAGCUGUUGGCCCAGUUGGAAAGGAGCUGUUUGAGAGAGAACAAGAAGACCUGCUUUCUGACUUGAAAGAUAUCCCAAAGAAGGCUUGUGAUCGCCGUAUUAAUGAAUUUGUUAAGCGUGCUAGAGCAGCCAAGAUUCAUGCAUAUAUAAUCAGUCAUCUAAAGAAAGAGAUGCCUGCAAUGAUGGGCAAGGCUAAGACUCAGCAGCGACUCAUUGAUGACCUGGAGGAUGAGUUUGCAAAGCUAUAACCUUGGAGACCUGGCUGGAAAAGAAGAUAGAAGAAUGGCCUUAAAUCGGAUAAGUAUUAUGGAUUUAGUUUUAUUGUUCCACUUUCAAUUUUCUUCUAAAGGUCUUGAUGUGCAGAUUUUUACUAGAAGAUGCCUUUUGUGCCUCCUUGCAUCACUUAUACCACUCAUUGCUUAUGGACAUUGACUGGUUCAAAGGGAAUUCCAUUUACCAAUAGGUGAUUUUCCCAAUGCUGACCACUUCAGGGAGGUGCUAAGUGGCUAUAAUAUUGACAAGUUUGAGAAGCUGAAGCCAAAGAUGAUACAGGCUGUGGAUGACAUGUUGGCAUAUGACAUUCCAGAACUCCUGCAGAGAUUCAGAAAUCCAUAUGACUGAAGAAUGCUUUCAUCUUUGCACACAAUAUGCUCCUUCAGAAUCCAAUUGGCACGGAAGUAUGUCAUGCGGAUGAUGAUAGUCUGUGUUACAAGAGCCAUGUAUGGUUCGUGCAUGUUCUCUUUUGAAUUUCAUUUUUCUCAGAGAAUUGUUGUAAAGUAAAUCAAAAGGUAUGUCGCUGCAACAAAAGAUGAUAUUAGGGAUGAUAAAUAUGUUUAGAAUUCUCUUGGUAAAAUUCAUUUAUUCUAAGCCUGGGGAGUGUAA